This 403-nucleotide ribosomal RNA is filed under the name uncultured bacterium. Its description in RNAcentral is "partial 16S ribosomal RNA". It matches the Rfam family "Bacterial small subunit ribosomal RNA", at positions 30 to 526 of the family's 1533-position model. The record is from RNAcentral.
AUUGAACGCUGGCGGCAGGCCUAACACAUGCAAGUCGAGCGAGCGGCGGACGGGUGAGUAAUGUAUGGGGACUGCCCGAUAGAGGGGGAUAACUACUGGAAACGGUGGCUAAUACCGCAUACCGUCAGAUUGCCCAGAUGGGAUUAGCUAGUAGGUAAGGUAACGGCUUACCUAGGCGACGAUCCCUAGCUGGUCUGAGAGGAUGAUCAGCCACACGGGAACUGAGACACGGCCCAGACUCCUACGGAGGCAGCAGUGGGGAAUAUUGCACAAUGGGCGCAAGCCUGAUGCAGCCAUGCCGCGUGUAUGAAGAAGGCCUUAGGGUUGUAAAGUACUUUCAGCGGGGAGGCGUUACCGGCAGAAGAAGCACCGGCUAACUCCGUGCCAGCAGCCGCGGUAAUAC